Molecule: ribosomal RNA, 413 nt
Filed under: uncultured bacterium
Lineage: Bacteria
Description: bacterial SSU rRNA
Rfam family: Bacterial small subunit ribosomal RNA
Source: RNAcentral
UGGUGUGAUCGGCUGAGCUCUAGAGAUAGAGCCUUCCCCUUCGGGGGACAAAGUGACAGGUGGUGCAUGGUUGUCGUCAGCUCGUGUCGUGAGAUGUUGGGUUAAGUCCCGCAACGAGCGCAACCCUUAAGCUUAGUUGCCAUCAUUAAGUUGGGCACUCUAGGUUGACUGCCGGUGACAAACCGGAGGAAGGUGGGGAUGACGUCAAAUCAUCAUGCCCCUUAUGAUUUGGGCUACACACGUGCUACAAUGGACAAUACAAAGGGCAGCUAAACCGCGAGGUCAUGCAAAUCCCAUAAAGUUGUUCUCAGUUCGGAUUGUAGUCUGCAACUCGACUACAUGAAGCUGGAAUCGCUAGUAAUCGUAGAUCAGCAUGCUACGGUGAAUACGUUCCCGGGUCUUGUACACACCGA